Molecule: ribosomal RNA, 574 nt
Filed under: Colletotrichum gloeosporioides
Lineage: Eukaryota; Fungi; Ascomycota; Sordariomycetes; Glomerellales; Glomerellaceae
Description: eukaryotic LSU rRNA
Rfam family: 5.8S ribosomal RNA (bases 203-356)
Source: RNAcentral
UCCGUAGGUGAACCUGCGGAGGGAUCAUUACUGAGUUUACGCUCUAUAACCCUUUGUGAACAUACCUAUAACUGUUGCUUCGGCGGGUAGGGUCUCCGUGACCCUCCCGGCCUCCCGCCCCCGGGCGGGUCGGCGCCCGCCGGAGGAUAACCAAACUCUGAUUUAACGACGUUUCUUCUGAGUGGUACAAGCAAAUAAUCAAAACUUUUAACAACGGAUCUCUUGGUUCUGGCAUCGAUGAAGAACGCAGCGAAAUGCGAUAAGUAAUGUGAAUUGCAGAAUUCAGUGAAUCAUCGAAUCUUUGAACGCACAUUGCGCCCGCCAGCAUUCUGGCGGGCAUGCCUGUUCGAGCGUCAUUUCAACCCUCAAGCUCUGCUUGGUGUUGGGGCCCUACAGCUGAUGUAGGCCCUCAAAGGUAGUGGCGGACCCUCCCGGAGCCUCCUUCGCGUAGUAACUUUACGUCUCGCACUGGGAUCCGGAGGGACUCUUGCCGUAAAACCCCCAAUUUUCCAAAGGUUGACCUCGGAUCAGGUAGGAAUACCCGCUGAACUUAAGCAUAUCAAUAAGCGGAGGA